RNAcentral lists this non-coding RNA (94 nucleotides) under Leeuwenhoekiella blandensis. Its description in RNAcentral is "TPP sequence". It matches the Rfam family "TPP riboswitch aptamer (THI element)". Rfam says of the family: Vitamin B(1) in its active form thiamin pyrophosphate (TPP) is an essential coenzyme that is synthesised by coupling of pyrimidine and thiazole moieties in bacteria. The previously detected thiamin-regulatory element, thi box was extended, resulting in a new, highly conserved RNA secondary structure, the THI element, which is widely distributed in eubacteria and also occurs in some archaea. RNAcentral also lists the same sequence under 1 other name. The record is from RNAcentral. Lineage: Bacteria; Pseudomonadati; Bacteroidota; Flavobacteriia; Flavobacteriales; Flavobacteriaceae.
AUCUGGCUUUAGGGGUAUUCUAAAUUUAGAAUUGAGAGAGUCCCUUUGAACCUGUUUGGUUAAUACCAGCGUAGGGAAAAGUAUAUUUUUAUCU